UACGUACGUCCCGAGCGUUGUCCGGAUUUAUUGGGCGCAAAGCGAGCGCAGGUGGUUUAUUAAGUCUGGUGUAAAAGGCAGUGGCUCAACCAUUGUAUGCAUUGGAAACUGGUAGACUUGAGUGCAGGAGAGGAGAGUGGAAUUCCAUGUGUAGCGGUGAAAUGCGUAGAUAUAUGGAGGAACACCGGUGGCGAAAGCGGCUCUCUGGCCUGUAACUGACACUGAGGCUCGAAAGCGUGGGGAGCAAACAGG
Molecule: ribosomal RNA, 252 nt
Filed under: uncultured bacterium
Lineage: Bacteria
Description: partial 16S ribosomal RNA
Rfam family: Bacterial small subunit ribosomal RNA
Source: RNAcentral